RNAcentral lists this unclassified non-coding RNA (88 nucleotides) under Pseudomonas mediterranea. The record is from RNAcentral. Lineage: Bacteria; Pseudomonadati; Pseudomonadota; Gammaproteobacteria; Pseudomonadales; Pseudomonadaceae.
UGUGGGAGCGAGCCUGCUCGCGAUGCGGUCUGCCAGAGACAAAAAUGUUGAUUGUCUCACCGCUAUCGCGAGCAGGCUCGCUCCCACA